AACGAACGCUGGCGGCAGGCCUAACACAUGCAAGUCGAGCGGGGGGGUAACCCCGUACGCGGCGGACGGGUGGAGUAACGCGUGGGAACGUGCCCUUUGCUUCGGAAUAGCCCCCUGGAAACGGGGAGUAAUACCGGAUGUGCCCUACGGGGGAAAGAAUUUCGGCAAAGGAUCGGCCCGCGUUGGAUUAGGUAGUUGGUGGGGUAAUGGCCCUACCAAGCCGACGAUCCAUAGCUGGUUUGAGAGGAUGAUCAGCCACACUGGGGACUGAGACACGGCCCAGACUCCUACGGGAGGCAGCAGUGGGGAAUAUUGGACAAUGGGCGAAAGACCUGAUCCAGCAAUGCCGCGUGAGUGAUGAAGGCCUUAGGGUUGUAAAGCUCUUUUACCCGAGAUGAUAAUGACAGUAUCGGGAGAAUAAGCUCCGGCUAACUCCGUGCCAGCAGCCGCGG
This 452-nucleotide ribosomal RNA is filed under the name uncultured bacterium. RNAcentral's name for it is "bacterial SSU rRNA". It matches the Rfam family "Bacterial small subunit ribosomal RNA", at positions 29 to 520 of the family's 1533-position model. The record is from RNAcentral.